CUGAAGUGUUUCACAUUAAAUGAGUCUUACUAGCUGUAGCUGAGGUACAAAUAGAGUUUUGGAUAAAGAAGUGUCUGAUUCAACAUUGAAAUUUAUUUUUAUAUCUGGGGGGACAUGAGAUUUUUUGAAGUGUCAAGGUGGGUCAUGAUGCACAGAAGGUUGGGAACCACUGAACCACUGUCUUAGAUAUCAAAUGCAAAUUAACUGCUUACAUUUUUUCCUGUAGAUUGGCUCAAUCACCCGUGCCUCGAAGGUAGGCUUCGAGGAACUGUCUAAUAACAUUGCCAAGAUAGAGGUCGACUGUAAGGAAUCGUGGGAUCAUCUAAAAGCCAUUACAAAACGCAGAUUAAGCUCAAUGUGCUCCAGUGAACCAGUGAGUGGGACACUAGUGGAUUAAGACCCAGAUUGGGCUAUUUACUGGGACAAUUUCAACAGUUUCUAGUGUGGUUGGGUUCACCACUAUACUUACCCCAGGACAUUAAGGUUCAACAAGUGUGCUCAACAAUAAAUGAGUUUGCCCUGGAGUACAGGACCUGCCGAUAAUGUGUACUACAACAAACUCAGAAGAAGGCAAACCACCGCGAGACAAAUAAGACUCGCGGGAAGAUGAUCGUAGAGAUUGGCUCAAUCACCCGUGCCUCGAAGGUAGGCUUCGAGGAACUGUCUAAUAACAUUGCCAAGAUAGAGGUCGACUGUAAGGAAUCGUGGGAUCAUCUAAAAGCCAUUACAAAACAUGCAGAUUAAGCUCAAUGUGCUCCAGUGAACCAGUGAGUGGGACAGUAGUGGAUUAAGACCCAGAUUGGGCUAUUUACUGGGACAAAUAUCGGAGUUUUUAGCAGACUGUGCAGAGCAUAUAUUUGUUCUGGGAAUUAUUUAUCAGCGAUUGAUGACUGGGUAAGGAGCACAGAAGCAGUAUUGAAUGUCUAGCACCAUUAUAAGAAAAUAUCAAGAUGGUCAGAUUUUUAGAUAUCAAAAGGAUUUUUAAUAAUACAAAAUUUUAUGAAAUACAU
Cherax quadricarinatus is the source of this 1010-nucleotide non-coding RNA. The record is from RefSeq and is a predicted model, not a curated record. Lineage: Eukaryota; Metazoa; Arthropoda; Malacostraca; Decapoda; Parastacidae.